This 73-nucleotide transfer RNA is filed under the name Stegodyphus mimosarum. It matches the Rfam family "tRNA". From Rfam's summary of the family: Transfer RNA (tRNA) molecules are approximately 80 nucleotides in length. Their secondary structure includes four short double-helical elements and three loops (D, anti-codon, and T loops). The record is from Rfam by way of RNAcentral. Lineage: Eukaryota; Metazoa; Arthropoda; Arachnida; Araneae; Eresidae.
GCCUUCGUGGUAUAGUGGUCAGCACGCUCGACGCGUAUUCGAGAGGUCCGUGGUUCGAGUCCCGGCGAAGGCA